AUGGCUGCUCUAAGCGCAUCGUGCCUCGUCGGUCCCGUCCCAUUCAAGGACGUCGCCACCGCCGUCGAUGGCCACAGCUCCACACCCGAAGAGUACGAGGACAUCGUCUCCGGCCUGCCCAGCAGCACCGCGCUAGGCAUGGUCCUGCGCCAAUACCGUGGCUCCUGGGUGAUCCAAGAAAGAGUCACGGCGUUCAUCUCUCUCCAGCGACGCUUCACGCCACGCCCCGGCGACGUGCUCCUCGCGAGCCCGGCCAAGUGCGGCACGACCUGGCUCAAGGCGCUGGCGUUCGCCACCAUGGCGCGGGGCGCGUACCCGCCCACCGACGCGCAGCACCCGCUCCUCCGCAUGAACCCGCACGAGUGCGUCCCCUUCAUGGAUGAGCUGUUCACCGCCGGGCAGGACGCCAGGCUUGAGGCGCUGCCGUCGCCUCGCCUCAUGCACACGCACAUGCAUCAUUCCUUGCUGCCUGCAUCCGUUACUGAUAACCCCGACUGCAAAAUCGUCUUCAUCUGCAGGGACCCCAAGGACAUGCUUGUUUCCUUGUGGCAUUUUCUCAAAGGUGUUCGUCCUUUCACGUUUGAUGACCUGUUCAACUCUGCCUGCGAGGGGAAGACCCCCAAUGGCCCCAUAUGGGACCACCUCAUCGGCUACUGGAGUGCAAGCAAGACCAGCCCGGACAAUGUCCUUUUCCUGAGGUACGAAGAGAUGCUCAUCGACCCGGUCAGCCACGUCAGGGAGCUGGCGCGGUUCAUCGGGCAGCCAUUCUCACACGCCGAUGAGGCGGCCGGGAUACCGGCGGACAUUGUGAAGCUCUGCAGUUUUGAUAAGCUCAAAGGCCAAGGCGCCAACAUGGCAGGCUCAUACGACGGGAAGGUUUUCAGUUUUGCACAUGAAACCUUCUUCAGGAAAGGGGUGGCCGGAGAUUGGGUGAACAAUAUGACGCCGGAGAUGGCGCAACGCUUUGACACCAUCAUCGAGGAUACCCUUAGAGGGUCUGGCCUCACAUUCAAGUGA
RNAcentral lists this ribosomal RNA (1017 nucleotides) under Triticum aestivum (bread wheat). Its description in RNAcentral is "partial small subunit ribosomal RNA". Lineage: Eukaryota; Viridiplantae; Streptophyta; Magnoliopsida; Poales; Poaceae. The record is from RNAcentral.